UGGGGAAUUUUGGACAAUGGGCGCAAGCCUGAUCCAGCCAUGCCGCGUGUGGGAAGAAGGCCUUCGGGUUGUAAACCACUUUUGUCAGGGAAGAAACGGCUUAGUUUAAUACGCUGAGCUAAUGACGGUACCUGAAGAAUAAGCACCGGCUAACUACGUGCCAGCAGCCGCGGUAAUACGUAGGGUGCAAGCGUUAAUCGGAAUUACUGGGCGUAAAGCGUGCGCAGGCGGCUUUGCAAGACAGAUGUGAAAUCCCCGGGCUCAACCUGGGAACUGCAUUUGUGACUGCAUGGCUAGAGUGCGGCAGAGGGGGAUGGAAUUCCGCGUGUAGCAGUGAAAUGCGUAGAUAUGCGGAGGAACACCGAUGGCGAAGGCAAUCCCCUGGGCCUGCACUGACGCUCAUGCACGAAAGCGUGGGGAGCAAACAGG
RNAcentral lists this ribosomal RNA (429 nucleotides) under uncultured Methylibium sp. RNAcentral's name for it is "bacterial SSU rRNA". It matches the Rfam family "Bacterial small subunit ribosomal RNA", at positions 355 to 776 of the family's 1533-position model. Lineage: Bacteria; Pseudomonadati; Pseudomonadota; Betaproteobacteria; Burkholderiales; Sphaerotilaceae. The record is from RNAcentral.